AUGGAAGACGACCGCCUCACCAUCCUAUGCACCGUCGAGGUCCUCCGGGAGGAGGAGGAGGACUCUGGCAUCGCCGAGGAUAUGCAAAAGCUUCUUUUCCUCUCGUCGGAGUCGAAGAGUACAAGACCUGCAUGCAUGUUGCCGGACGUGACGUUCGUUGUGGAGCAGGCCGAGAUCCAGGCGCACAGGCUCGUCCUUGCCAUGCGGUCACCGGUAUUCGCCGCCGAGCUCCUCGGUGACAUGAGAGAGGGUACCACCCGUCACAUCAUGGUCGAUGACAUGAGCGCCUCAACCUUCAGGGCCAUGCUUCGCUUCAUCUACACCGAUAAGCUGAACAUCAAAAGGAAGGCUAGCGAUGUGGCUUUGAGAAGCCAACGUGGUUGCAAAGAAAAACGUGCGGCGAGACGUCGUGUGGACAUGGCGCUUGACCUGCUCGUUGCCGCUGAUCGCUACGACCUAGAGAAGCUAAGGCUCAUGUGCGACAAGAUACUGUCUGAAAGCAUAGAUGUGGAUUCUGUCACGCCGACGCUGAUGGUGGUGCACGGACGGUUAAGCUGCCGCCAACUGGAGGCAUCUUGCAUCGAUUACUUGGCGUCCGAUGACGACUUGUAUGCCAAUGUCAAGGCCAUGGAGGAGUACAAGGAGCUAGAGGAAAGUUGUUGGUCGUUCACAGCAGAUGUAAUGGACAAAGUAGCCAAACGUAAAUUAGCGGCUAAUGACUCCUCCUUGGGCGCCAACACCAGCCGCCGACGACCAGAGAAAAAGAGUGUGUCGACAUAUAACAUAUCGGAGGUUGUCCGCGGCACAUAUGAGAUGAGGAUCCCCAACUUCGAUAGCAUGCGAAGGAGCUAUAGUGUCAAGCAAACAAUCUUUUCGGAUAUUUUUCAGAUAGGAGGUUAUGACUGGAAGCUAAAGGUAUCAGUAAAGGAAAAGACAAUCUCCGUGUUCGCCAAAUUGUUGACUGAUCCAGGAACCGCUGGUCUUAGGGCAGCCCUGUUUAUGAGGAUGGAUGACCCUGGUGGCAAGUUGCGGCCAAUCGUAAGACGAUUUAAACCAAUCUUCAGCAGGAAAGCAACAACAUGGGGGUAUUCAAAUUUCAUGGGCGCUGAAGGCACCAAGUCACCGUACCAGUACCUGGCACAUGAUGGCUCUCUAACCAUACGCUGCAAUUUCUUAGUUAGUGCCAUUUCAUCCUGUAUCAAAGACACGACUCUUGCGCCACCGCCCAACAUUAUGUGUCACCUUGAGAAGCUGCUAGUGAGCGAGAAGGGCUCAGAUGUGACGUUCCUAUUUGAAAAGAGAGAAAUUCACGCACAUAGCCUCAUCAUUGCCAUACGGUCCCCGGCCCUUUACAUGGUGGUUGUGGCCGCCAACAAGGAGGAGGACAUUGUACCCAUCAAUGAUAUGAAGGCUGCGGUCUUCAAGGCGAUGCUCCACUUCAUCUACACUGACGAGUUGCCUCCUUUGGAAGACAUAGCCCUUGCUGCGGGAGACGGCGUGAUGACUACCGCUGGGGACAUGCUCGCUGCGGCGUGCCGGUUCAAGCUGGACAGGAUGAAGGACAAAUGCGAGACCUUAUUUGGUCAGUCCGUCUCGAAACAGAACGCGUCGAGCAUGCUCAAACUUGCGCGCCAUCACCACUGCGUGAAGCUCAAGGAUUACUGCUUGAAGUUUGAAUAA
Molecule: ribosomal RNA, 1680 nt
Filed under: Triticum aestivum (bread wheat)
Lineage: Eukaryota; Viridiplantae; Streptophyta; Magnoliopsida; Poales; Poaceae
Description: partial small subunit ribosomal RNA
Source: RNAcentral